Molecule: long non-coding RNA, 3904 nt
Organism: Homo sapiens (human)
Lineage: Eukaryota; Metazoa; Chordata; Mammalia; Primates; Hominidae
Gene: RAD51L3-RFFL
Product: RAD51L3-RFFL readthrough
Exons: 7
Source: RefSeq, marked validated
GAUUUGAGGCUACUGCUGCCAGGCUAGCUAUGUGGCUGGCCAGACCAAGGGCCAGUGUGACUGUGAAGCAGCAUCAUGAGAGGGGUAAAACCAAGGAACAGACUGCAUGAGCCCUUGGGCCCCUUCCAGCUCUAAUACUCCAUGGUGAUGGCAGCCCUGCCCUUCUCUGAAGAUCUCAAAAUGCCUGACACCUGUGUCCUUCCGCACUGCCCUGGGAAGGAGAAUAAGGAUGGCAGAAGCUCUCCGGAGGAUCCAGGUGGUGCAUGCAUUUGACAUCUUCCAGAUGCUGGAUGUGCUGCAGGAGCUCCGAGGCACUGUGGCCCAGCAGGUGACUGGUUCUUCAGGAACUGUGAAGGUGGUGGUUGUGGACUCGGUCACUGCGGUGGUUUCCCCACUUCUGGGAGGUCAGCAGAGGGAAGGCUUGGCCUUGAUGAUGCAGCUGGCCCGAGAGCUGAAGACCCUGGCCCGGGACCUUGGCAUGGCAGUGGUGGUGACCAACCACAUAACUCGAGACAGGGACAGCGGGAGGCUCAAACCUGCCCUCGGACGCUCCUGGAGCUUUGUGCCCAGCACUCGGAUUCUCCUGGACACCAUCGAGGGAGCAGGAGCAUCAGGCGGCCGGCGCAUGGCGUGUCUGGCCAAAUCUUCCCGACAGUCUAUUGACUCAGAGGACAGCUUUGUCCCAGGCCGAAGGGCCUCUCUGUCUGACCUGACUGACCUGGAGGACAUUGAAGGCCUGACAGUGCGGCAGCUGAAAGAGAUCUUGGCUCGCAACUUUGUCAACUACAAGGGCUGCUGUGAGAAGUGGGAGCUGAUGGAGAGAGUGACCCGGCUAUACAAGGAUCAGAAAGGACUCCAGCACCUGGGGGGAGCAGUACCAUCAGGCUUGGAGGAGAACCUGUGUAAGAUCUGCAUGGACUCACCCAUUGACUGUGUUCUUCUGGAGUGUGGCCACAUGGUAACCUGUACCAAGUGUGGCAAGCGCAUGAAUGAAUGUCCCAUCUGCCGGCAGUAUGUAAUCCGAGCUGUGCAUGUCUUCCGGUCCUGAGAGCUUGCAUCGGUUUCUUCAGUGCCUUACAGGGAAAUAGCCUGGGGUGUCUGGGCUCAGGGUUGGCCAGCUUGCAGAGGAGCAAGCUAGUAGAAAUAUUGCAGGGUUCCCAAAACCAGGUCAAGCAAGAUGCCAUGUCACCCCUGAGCAUGCCUGUCUUCCCAGGGGUGUACCUCUUGGCUGGCAAAGCCCAAGGCCAGUGGGAACUUGUAUAAAUCACAUGGGUAUGUUCUUGGUUCAGUGAUCUUGGAGUGAUGAUGGUAACUGAUGAACAGAGAACUUUCCAGAACUUGGGUCCUGUCUUCCUCCCUGAACCUAGACAGUUUCACCCCUCCUCCUGUACCCAACCCAUCCCCACCCCAUAUGGGAGAUGCUUGCCCAUGUGUUUCAUCAAUCAGAAGUCCUCCUCCCCAGCACAUUCGGAUUUAAAUUUCUGGUCUCUCCGGCUUUCUGUGCUUUAACUAUCUUUGCUAAAGUCUCUUGCUACAUUGCCUAAAUCCAUUUGUUUCUUUGGACCAAAAAUGUUAGUUUACCAGACCGAUAGUGGUCCUUAGGACAGAUUUUAGACCAGUAAACUUAUCUUUGGUGAGAAAUGAAAUACAAAUGCUAUAGAAAAAUUUCAAAGUUGUUAAAAGCCACUUCAUUAAAUGCUGGGAUUGGAAGCUGUUGGUCUCCUGACCUGACUCUGGGAGCCAACAAAACAUCAGGCUCCCAAACUGCUGGGAAAUUUGUUUCUGUCUGCAAGGGAUAGUGCGUGCAUAAUCCCUGCUGCUGCUUCUCUUGGGACCUGAUUUGCACCAUCCUUAGUUUAUGCGGAAAGGGGAAGCAAUGGGUGGAGGCAGUGGCCUUCUCCUUAAUUUUGGCUUGGCUUCUGAUCCUUUUCCCAACUAGAAGUCUUAAGCCACUUUUCGCUGAAAAUGAAAUCCCUCCCUUAUCCAUGGUAGUUUUAAAUUUGGUUUCAUUGAAGAAAUAGAUUUAGGCAAAGAGCCUGUGCUCUUCUCUGGCCAGACUGCUGUUGAAGUUCCUGGAGAGCAAAUGUUAAGACAGAGCACUUAAGAGCUUUCAGGAGGUACUGAAUGAGACUGGAUUCUGUUGUAAGCCGACAGUUCAAGUCUUUAUUUCCCAGGUUGGUGGGGAGUGAGGAGACCCUACUUUCAUUCCCUUUCCUAGCCCACUGAUUUUUGGGGGCAGGUCAGGGAGAAAGCAUUUUUUUUUUUUUUUUGAGUCUCACUCUGUUGCCCAGGCUGGAGUGCAGUGGUACAGUCUUGGCUUACUGCAACCUCCACCUCCCAGGUUCAAGCUAUUCUCCUGCCUUAGCCUCCAGAGUAGCUGGGAUUAUAGGCGCCCACCACCACACCAGGCUAAUUUUUGUAUUUUUAGUAGAGACGGGGUUUUACCAUGUUCACCAGGCUGGUCUUGAACUCUUGACCUUAUGAUCCGCCCGCCUCAGCUUCCCAAAGUGCUGGGAUUACAGGCGUGAGCCACCACACCCAGCAGGAGAAACCAUUUUCUAGGCUCUUUAGGAAGGACCAUGCAAUGAGUAGGUGAUGUAUUUGAGCCCUCACAGUCUUUACACCCCUAGAGGAGCUGGAGGACUUAAGAGUUUGCUGCAGAAGCGUGGCCAAGCACAAAACACAUGAUCAGGAAAGCAGAGUGUUUUCCCAUUACCAAUGGAUGAACUAUGCAAACCCUAAACGCCUUGGCAGACACCUCCCACCCCUUACCCCUCCCAUGCAGCUGAAAAAUCUGAGACUAGAACCAAUCAUGACUCUGGAUGGCAGAGGGAAACCUCUAAAGGGACUUAUUACAUUGGUACAGACAUAUUUAUGCUUUCUUCCAUCACCAACCACUAAACCCCUUUGGAGGAAUGAAAUAACUGCAUAAACUAGUCAACUGAACACUGGGCCACUUACCUCAAUGUUAUACAAAGUCCUGGAUGAUUUGAUUCUGAACCACAGCCUUUGCAGGAGUUGGGGGAAUCAGAUUUGCUCAUGAAGACAUCCCUUUCCACUUUUGUCAUGGGCAGUAAAUACUAUAGUUUACAAUGCCUACCAAUUAGCAAAGGAUCAUUCAUUCAGCUACUCAGUUCCUCUGUAAAACAGGUCUAUGUAUGUGCAAUUCAGCUAAGAUCUAGCAGUAACUUAAGGGCAGAAGCUGGCUCUCUACUUACAACCUGCUUUCUCUGCUGAAGCCUUACCUCCUCUUCAGUUUCCCUCCUAGACACAAAUCGAAAAUAAUAUACUGAUAGCUGGUUAGUAACCUCAGUAAGAAUUAAAACUGAGGUUGUUUACUCAUUUUGCCUUUAAAUCUUUUAUCCCCUUUUGGUGAAGGUUUCCCUUUAGGAAAAAAGGUGUCAAACAACCCUGAUUUUUUUUUUUUUUGCAUCAUUUUUAUUACACCAAAUUAAAGUUGGGAGUUCCAAGAUCCCAUUCCAGUUAAUAUUUAACCAAGGUCUAAAAUUUGAUUUUUUUUAAAUCUUUGAAUCCUCCCUUCUGCCCCUCAUGGAUCCUUGGUUUUAAUGAUAUGGAAACAUCUAAUUCUUAGAAUUAUUCCGUAGCUUUUGCUGAUUACUCUGAGAUUUCAGUUAAGACUUGUUUCAAAAGACAGAUAGCUGACUGGUUCAUAAUACAUUGGAAUAGUUGGAUCCAAACUAAUAAGAAUAAGCUGUACAGGAACUAGUGCUCAAUAUACAUUGUAUAAAUUUGUGGAAAUCUCUUGGAUGUGAAUUGUUACUUCAAGUGGCUUUUAUUAAGAUUUUCUCAGACUUACUUGGAGGUUAAAGCAAACCCAAAUGUGUAUUAUUUUGUUACAGAGCUCUGCUUUAUAAUUUUGUAAUAAAGUUUCAAUACAGACACC